Molecule: ribosomal RNA, 464 nt
Filed under: uncultured Comamonas sp.
Lineage: Bacteria; Pseudomonadati; Pseudomonadota; Betaproteobacteria; Burkholderiales; Comamonadaceae
Description: bacterial SSU rRNA
Rfam family: Bacterial small subunit ribosomal RNA
Source: RNAcentral
GGGGGCCCGCACAAGCGGUGGAUCAUGUGGUUUAAUUCGACGCUACGCGAAGAACCUUACCUGGGCUCGAACGACUAGUGGUAGUCCUUAUGAAAGUAGGGGCGACCCGCAAGGGAGCUAGCCGAGGUGCUGCAUGGCUGUCGUCAGCUCGUGUCGUGAGAUGUUGGGUUAAGUCCCGCAACGAGCGCAACCCUUGCCAUUAGUUGCUACGAAAGGGCACUCUAAUGGGACUGCCGGUGACAAACCGGAGGAAGGUGGGGAUGACGUCAAGUCCUCAUGGCCCUUAUAGGUGGGGCUACACACGUCAUACAAUGGCUGGUACAAAGGGUUGCCAACCCGCGAGGGGGAGCUAAUCCCAUAAAGCCAGUCGUAGUCCGGAUCGCAGUCUGCAACUCGACUGCGUGAAGUCGGAAUCGCUAGUAAUCGUGGAUCAGAAUGUCACGGUGAAUACGUUCCCGGGUCUU